UACGGGGGGGGCAAGCGUUGUUCGGAAUUACUGGGCGUAAAGGGCUCGUAGGUGGCCAACUAAGUCAACCGUGAAAUCCCUCGGCUUAACCGGGGAACUGCGUUUGAUACUGGAUGGCUUGAGUUUGGGAGAGGGAUGCGGAAUUCCAGGUGUAGCGGUGAAAUGCGUAGAUAUCUGGAGGAACACCAGCGGCGAAGGCGGCACUCUGGGCUGGAACUGACGCUGAGGAGCGAAAGCGUGGGUAGCAAACAGG
Molecule: ribosomal RNA, 253 nt
Filed under: uncultured bacterium
Lineage: Bacteria
Description: partial 16S ribosomal RNA
Rfam family: Bacterial small subunit ribosomal RNA
Source: RNAcentral